GAGGGUAGAGCUCAGUGGUGGAGGGCAUGCUUAGCAUGCAUGAGGUCCUGGAUUCGAUCCCAGUACCCCUA
RNAcentral lists this transfer RNA (71 nucleotides) under Camelus bactrianus (Bactrian camel). It matches the Rfam family "tRNA". From Rfam's summary of the family: Transfer RNA (tRNA) molecules are approximately 80 nucleotides in length. Their secondary structure includes four short double-helical elements and three loops (D, anti-codon, and T loops). Lineage: Eukaryota; Metazoa; Chordata; Mammalia; Artiodactyla; Camelidae. The record is from Rfam by way of RNAcentral. RNAcentral also lists the same sequence under 2 other names.